CCUACGGGCGGCUGCAGUGGGGAAUAUUGGACAAUGGGCGAAAGCCUGAUCCAGCCAUGCCGCGUGUGUGAAGAAGGCCUUCGGGUUGUAAAGCACUUUCAGUGGGGAAGAAAGCCUUGGGGCUAAUACCCUCGAGGAAGGACAUCACCCACAGAAGAAGCACCGGCUAACUCCGUGCCAGCAGCCGCGGUAAUACGGAGGGUGCGAGCGUUAAUCGGAAUUACUGGGCGUAAAGCGCGCGUAGGCGGUCUGAUAAGCCGGUUGUGAAAGCCCCGGGCUCAACCUGGGAACGGCAUCCAGAACUGUCAGGCUAGAGUGCAGGAGAGGAAGGUAGAAUUCCCGGUGUAGCGGUGAAAUGCGUAGAGAUCGGGAGGAAUACCAGUGGCGAAGGCGGCCUUCUGGACUGACACUGACGCUGAGGUGCGAAAGCGUGGGUAGCAAACAGGAUUAGAUACCCUAGUAGUC
Molecule: ribosomal RNA, 465 nt
Filed under: Vreelandella stevensii
Lineage: Bacteria; Pseudomonadati; Pseudomonadota; Gammaproteobacteria; Oceanospirillales; Halomonadaceae
Description: partial 16S ribosomal RNA
Rfam family: Bacterial small subunit ribosomal RNA
Source: RNAcentral